GGUUCCAGAAGUACAGGCCCUACAUAUGUAU
This 31-nucleotide non-coding RNA is filed under the name Rattus norvegicus (Norway rat). The record is from RNAcentral. Lineage: Eukaryota; Metazoa; Chordata; Mammalia; Rodentia; Muridae.